Molecule: ribosomal RNA, 27 nt
Filed under: Phellodendron amurense
Lineage: Eukaryota; Viridiplantae; Streptophyta; Magnoliopsida; Sapindales; Rutaceae
Description: partial 18S ribosomal RNA
Source: RNAcentral
CCAGCGGUGCAUGCCGGAAGGACAUCA